Molecule: unclassified non-coding RNA, 570 nt
Filed under: Hevea brasiliensis (rubber tree)
Lineage: Eukaryota; Viridiplantae; Streptophyta; Magnoliopsida; Malpighiales; Euphorbiaceae
Source: RNAcentral
UAAAUGUGAAACAUUAGUGCUUUAAUCAGCCUUCUUUAAUGAGGUUUACAAUAAUAAGUGAGCAAGAACUAUAGAUGAGUUAUAUAAUAAGCUAAGUUAUUUCAAUCAAAUGUGAUGAAGCAAACUUUGCUCAAACAUUUGUUGCACACUUAGGUUUAAUUUUCUUAUAUGAACAUAGCUUUAUGUUUCUCAAUUUUCAUCUUUAGUCCAUCUUUAUCUGCUCCAACAACCUUGUCAACAACUUUCCCUUUCUUUAUCAACACGAACGUUGGCAUCGCUUGAACCCCAUAUUCCUGAGCUACGUCAUCCAAUUCAUCAACAUCAAUCUUGACAAACUCAACAUCUAUAUAUUUAGCAGCAAAGUCAUUAAGAAUUGGUUCCAUGUAUUUGCAAGGACCACACCAUGUGGCUGUGAAGUCAAUAACAACCAAUUUGUUUGUAUUUUUCAAAGAAUCAAAAUGGAGCUUCCAUUUUGUUGAAGAGUGAAAAGCAAUGACUUGAGACCUCUUGAAUUGUGGUGUGAUUGGCAUAUUAUGAGCUUCAUGCAAUGUGACUGAGUAGUUAGCACCC